GCACUUUUUAAACAGAACAAUUUCAUAAUUAUAUACAUUAAGAUGUCAAAUAAUCAUCUGUCCCUGGAAGAAACAUGCAUCAUGAAAACAACAGUUCAGUUGGUUUGUCAUCACAGCCCACUUUUACAAACUCAAAUUUAACAUUAGAUUUCAUCAAAAUAUUGAAUAUAAAAAGAAUUUCUCAUAUUCCAAGUUAGCAUAUGUCCUAAUCUUAAUGAUUGAAAAAUAGGGUUUCCACUCCAUAAAGAGAACACAGGGGACGAUCAAUAAAUUUACCAACCCUGUACUGACCGUAAAUGACAAAAUUCACUUCAGCUGACGUGUACAUUUUCUACUUAUCAUAAGAAACAUAUAAAAAAUUUCAUAAAGACAACAAUUUUUAAGUAUUGGUAUAUUUAUAACUGCACAUUCAGAAAUAUUUUGUCCAGCAAAAUCCUGAAAAUAUGCCAUAUAUUGACAAAAUUUCCAUACUCAACAUACUCAAUAGAUAUUGGAAUUUGGAUAUACUGAAAAUAACACCAAACAUCAACCAGGAAAUAACUUCCUGGCAGAUCUGUACAUGGUUUAAUACAAUAUACAACUCAUUAUAAAGUUAACAACUAAAUCAUAUUAAUCCUGAAGAAGCUUAUUAAGGUGGCUCGGGCGUAUUCGAAGUUUCUAUCAGAAGUGCCGUAUUUUUGGUUAUUUUAUUCUUUAAAGAAAAUGAAUCAAAUUGAU
Molecule: long non-coding RNA, 717 nt
Filed under: Mytilus galloprovincialis (Mediterranean mussel)
Lineage: Eukaryota; Metazoa; Mollusca; Bivalvia; Mytilida; Mytilidae
Source: RNAcentral